This 98-nucleotide small RNA is filed under the name Mycobacterium sp. OAS707. RNAcentral's name for it is "sRNA Ms_AS-1". It matches the Rfam family "Mycobacterium sRNA Ms_AS-1". The record is from RNAcentral. Lineage: Bacteria; Bacillati; Actinomycetota; Actinomycetes; Mycobacteriales; Mycobacteriaceae.
GUCGGAUUCGGGAUGAAGUGAUUGACCUUCUCGGCCAUCACCGCCAAGGUGCGCUUGCCGUCCUGAACCAUCUGCACGCCGCGGCGCUUGAACUCCUU